AACGCACCUUGCGCUCCUUGGCAUUCCGAGGAGCAUGCCUGUUUGAGUGUCAUUAAAUUCUCAAUCCAUAAUAUUUAUUUAUUAUGGACUUGGAUGUGGGAGCGUGCAGGCCCCUUUUUGAAGGAUCUGCUCUUCUUAAAUGCAUUAGUCGGACUUGUUGCAACAGUCUGUGGUGUGAUAAUAUCUACGCCCAGGCCCUGUGCAGUCUUGCGGUCCAGCUUCCAAUGGUCCAUUCAAUUGGACAGCUCAUUGACAAUUUGACCUCAAAUCAGGUAGGACUACCCGCUGAACUUAA
This 295-nucleotide unclassified non-coding RNA is filed under the name uncultured Agaricales. RNAcentral describes it as "sequence contains ITS2". The stretch from base 1 to 52 matches the Rfam family "5.8S ribosomal RNA", at positions 103 to 154 of the family's 154-position model. The record is from RNAcentral. Lineage: Eukaryota; Fungi; Basidiomycota; Agaricomycetes; Agaricales.